Molecule: ribosomal RNA, 723 nt
Filed under: Prevotella pallens
Lineage: Bacteria; Pseudomonadati; Bacteroidota; Bacteroidia; Bacteroidales; Prevotellaceae
Description: bacterial SSU rRNA
Rfam family: Bacterial small subunit ribosomal RNA
Source: RNAcentral
GAUGAACGCUGACAGAAUGCUUAACACAUGCAAGUCAACUUGAACUUCGGUUUGGGUGGCGGACGGGUGAGUAGCGCGUAAAGAACUUGCCUCACAGAUAGGGACAACAUUUGGAAACGAAUGCUAAUACCUGAUAUUAUGAUUUUAGGGCAUCCUAGGAUUAUGAAAGCUAUAUGCACUGUGAGAGAGCUUUGCGUCCCAUUAGCUAGUUGGAGAGGUAACGGCUCACCAAGGCGAUGAUGGGUAGCCGGCCUGAGAGGGUGAUCGGCCACAAGGGGACUGAGACACGGCCCCUACUCCUACGGGAGGCAGCAGUGGGGAAUAUUGGACAAUGGACCAAGAGUCUGAUCCAGCAAUUCUGUGUGCACGAUGAAGUUUUUCGGAAUGUAAAGUGCUUUCAGUUGGGAAGAAAAGAAUGACGGUACCAACAGAAGAAGUGACGGCUAACUACGUGCCAGCAGCCGCGGUAAUACGUAGGGCGCGAGCGUUGUCCGGAAUUAUUGGGCGUAAAGGGCUCGUAGGCGGCUUGUCGCGUCUGCUGUGAAAACGCGGGGCUCAACUCCGCGCGUGCAGUGGGUACGGGCAGGCUGGAGUGCGGCAGGGGUGGCUGGAAUUCCUGGUGUAGCGGUAGAAUGCGCAGAUAUCAGGAAGAACACCGAUGGCGAGGGCAGGCCACUGGGCCGUCACUGACGCUGAGGAGCGAAAGCGUGGGGAGCGAACAGG